GAAAUGCGAUAAGUAAUGUGAAUUGCAGAAUUCAGUGAAUCAUCGAAUCUUUGAACGCACAUUGCGCCCCCUGGUAUUCCGGGGGGCAUGCCUGUUCGAGCGUCAUUUCUCCACUCAAGCCUCGCUUGGUAUUGGGCGACGCGGUCCGCCGCGCGCCUCAAAUCGACCGGCUGGGUCUUCCGUCCCCUCAGCGUUGUGGAAACUAUUCGCUAAAGGGUGCCGCGGGAGGUCACGCCGCAAAACAACCCCAUUUCUAAGGUUGACCUCGGAUCAGGUAGGGAUACCCGCUGAACUUAAGC
Molecule: unclassified non-coding RNA, 299 nt
Filed under: plant metagenome
Description: partial contains 5.8S ribosomal RNA, internal transcribed spacer 2, and large subunit ribosomal RNA
Rfam family: 5.8S ribosomal RNA (bases 1-105)
Source: RNAcentral